CAUUUAGUCAUCUGAUAUUGGCUGCCUCUUCAAUCUAAUGAGAGUGAGAUGUUAACAUCCGGCAAAGCAUCAAAAGGAUACAGAUUCGAGUUUUGCGGGUGAGCACGUCUUCUGUUUCCAAAACACUUUUGUAUGAAUCGUAGGCAUUGACUGGGGUUGUUAAUGUGCACACAAGGCCAUUGCAAAAGAGGAAAUAGUUACUGCUGUAUUUCUGCAUGUAUUUAGUAGCUGAGAUUUGUAUUGGUUUCACGUGUAAUUUAAGAUCAAGGAGUCAGUGUUUGUAUUGCAUUUGAAGUUUUGUUUAUUGGAUUUUGGUGACAAAUCUGCCACAGAAUUGGGUCAGACUUAAACUAUAUUGUUUGUGUUUUGUAACUGAGUAAUGUCUUUAAUUUUAUAUUAAGGAUAAUAGUGAAAUGCGUGUUUCCAUGUGCUAUACUUUAUACACGAUCCUAUUAUAUAAAUAAGGCCAUAUUUCUGUGUUUCCAUGUUCUAUGUACAAGGUUUCUCUGUUUCUCUGGAAAGAAGGGCACUGCUUUUCAACAAAUUAUGGUAGCGUGUGAUUUAUUCCUGCCAUAAAUCAGUGAUGUGAAACUGAAAAAGAUGCACUCAAGAUUAUAGCAGACAUGGUGGGUGGGCAUUUAAAACAAUUCCCGAUGAUGAUAUGUCAGGAAAAUAUGUGAAAACCCCCAAAAUUGAUUUGCAAUUAUUUAAUUUUACUGUUGGGCAACGCCAAAGUGAAACAAUUAUUUUUGACUGGUUGGCAGAUGUCAAACUCUCUUUAACCAAUAAUAACAGUUUAUAACUCGUAGUUAACUUUUACAAAGUUGCCUUCUUUGCUAGAACAUUCUUGGGUGAUCCUCUAAAGCAAUACAACUGCUGUUAAUUAAAGAAAAACUUCCUUGAAAUACUCUACAGCUCAAAUAGUAUCAAUAGAGAAAAAUGGUUUCUAGUGAUUUUUUUAAAAUUGCUGUGAGGCACAAAAUCUCCCUUGGGAUGAGUUCUCUCCCAGACUACACAGUAUAAACACAACCCAUUUCCUAUGUUAGCAUAACAGAAAAAAAAUGUAUGCUGUUUCAUUUAUUUGGCAAAAUUCAAUUAAGAGAUAUUGAACAAGGAAAGUAUAUUGGUCAGAAUGGUUACAUUUUUAGAGGCUGUCAAAGUGGAAAUGAAGAGGUGAAGUUUGAGGCUUCGACUUAAAACUUACAUGGAAUGCAGAAACGCUGAUAUAAAUGAGAAUCCCAAAUUUGAAAGCAGUUGACUAUUGACUAUUCUAUGCCUGCAGAGUGUUGUAGAAAUGGGGAACAACCAGGCCAUCUAGAUGUAGGAAGAGGUUUAAAUUAGAGGCAUUAAGAACUAUAAAAGAAUAUUGAUUAGCGAUUGUGUGGUUGAUAUGUACACAAGACCUAUUUGGAUGCAGAGUUUUUGAGCUGAAGUUAAUGCACUGUGGGCAGUGAACAGUGAGCAUAUACUGUAAGCUUAAUCGCAAGGUGUAAGAAUACAUGAGAGUGCUUCCAAACUAGUGUGUGUUGUUCCAAAAAUGAAAAUAAAUGGUUUUGAAAAUGGUGCCGUGACCUAGUUUCAAUAAAGUGAGUCGAGAAUAGAUUCAUCAGGUUCACUAGAAGUAAUGAUAAGUGUAUGAUUGAGGAUGGGGUGAAGAAACAAUAUUUGAAGUUUUAAAGAUGCAGCAAAACAGACCCUUCGUCCUACUGAAUUCAUGCUGACGUUCACCCAUUCACACAAGUUCUGUUAUCCCACUUUCGCAUCCACUCCCUACACACCAUGGGUAAUUUACAGAGGCCAAUUAACCUACAAUCCCGCUCAUCUUUGGGAUGUGGGAUCCACGUUGUUGCAGAGAGAUCGUGCAAACUCCACAGAGACAUCACCUGAGGUCAGGAUCAAAUCCAAGACUGGUGCUUUGGGGCAGUAGCUCUAUCCGCUGUGCCAUUGUGCCACCCCAAAUAUUGAAAGGGAACUUGUUCCAUCCAGUUAAUCUUCUAUAGGUACCAUGUGAGGAUAUCGAACGGAAAGACUUUGGGGUAAAAAUACAUGAUAUUGUCAGUGGUAGCAUAUUUGAAAGAGGCAAUAUAUGACAGAGAAUAUAAUUUCUAUCUUGGGACAAUUUCUGUGCUUGUUUGAGGCAUUUUGGAGAAGCAAAGUUGAGAUGGUUGUAGGGACAAUAUGCCAAGGUUGGAUAAUUUUUAGAAGGUAACCAUUACAAUGCUAGGUAGCAAGAGGUCAGGCGAUCAAACACACAAAAGAUCAAUCUGAAUAACAAGGAAAUCCAUUAAAUGGCUGUAUCUUGCUGGUGUUGAUGGUGGAUGCCUUGGGGAGGAAUAUUUGUCGGUCAUUUGAUGAAGUUUAAGUUCUUUUUCUGCAAUUAAGAAAUACUGCUUUAGAUAGUAAAGGAUAGUUAAUGCAUCAGAUAUGCCCAAGCCUUUGCACCUGGGCCAAAAUGAAAACUUGCCACAUGGAAUGGUCAAUUCAGGAAAUAAUAAAUCCAUUUCUGGGGACAGGUGCCACAACCAGUCAUGAAAUAGAUGGGCAAAGAGCAGAACAACCCUGAAACUUGGCUGAAAAUUAAAUUAGAAGUUUGAUCGUGGUUGCUUAAAUUACAUGCGUUUAUUCCAAUGUCAUAUGAAUAAGCAGGGGGCUGAUGAAGUAAAAUACAGUGGGAAGAGAGGCCAUGUUAAAGAUUAAGGAGACUGGGAGUAAAGGCAAGGACAUGAAGGGAGUGGCCAUGAAUUAAGAAAUCAUAACAGGCUCAUAUCACUAUCUUAUGUUCCAAGAUCGCAUUUAAAUAAUUCAAAGAUAAAGAGCAUUAUUUUCAUUUAAUUUCCAUCUUUUGUUUCUGGAUUAUUUAGAUGUGAUGAAAGGACAAUGGCAUGAAAUCCUCCUUUGAUGAGUUAAAGUUUGUGAUGCAACGUAAAUGCAGUUCAGCACUCAGGAAGGGCUGGGUGGAAUGCAUUGCCAUGCCCUGUGAUUCUUCUGAAUGUGUUACCAGCAAUUGCUACAUUGAAAGAAGCACAGGAAAUGGAGCCCUUGUCAAUUUGAAGGGAGCCCAGUGCAUUUAAAAGGAGCGUGGGAAAGUGCCCCAGCAAGUUGAAAAGCUGUGUGGGAAAGACCCAGUGAAUUUCAAUAAGCAAGUGGUUUGAAGAAAGAGUGUAUUAAAAUUUCCAUCAGGAGAUGCAAAUUUUCCGUGUUGUAUCUCCGUCUGCACUGCGCCCUAACAUCGUGGAGUUGGCGGCCUCUUGUUUGGGACUUCUGGAGCUCCAAAACCCCGGAGUCUGCAGAUUUUAAAUCUUGGAGCGGGCAAUCCCUUUGCCAAGGGUCGGCCUUUGGUGCUCCAACCUGCAGGAGCUGUGGACUUUAACAUCGUCAAGCUCGUGGUUCCUGGUUAGGGACCGACUUCGGGGACUCCAAGCUGCAGGAGUUUCAACUUCCCCGACGUGGGAGUUCGAUCGCCGGCUGCGGAUGGUUUGACUCCCCCGACCGCAGGAGGAAAGAAGAUAAGACUUUAUUGCCUUCCAUCACAGUGGGGAAUGUGGGGGAGCCGCUGUGGUGGAUGCUUAUGUCGAAUUUUUAUGUAGUUGUGUCUUGUUGCUUUUUUGGUAUGACUGUAUGGCAAACCAAAUUCCUCGUAUGUUGCAAAACAUACUUGAUUAAUAAAUUACGAUUAUGAUU
Leucoraja erinaceus (little skate) is the source of this 3681-nucleotide long non-coding RNA. RefSeq lists it as uncharacterized. Lineage: Eukaryota; Metazoa; Chordata; Chondrichthyes; Rajiformes; Rajidae. The record is from RefSeq and is a predicted model, not a curated record. The transcript is spliced from 3 exons.